UACAGAGGGUGCGAGCGUUGUCCGGAAUCACUGGGCGUAAAGGGCGCGUAGGUGGCGCGACAAGUCAGUGGUGAAAGCUCGAUGCUUAACAUCGAGUCGGCCACUGAUACUGUUGGGCUUGAGCACUGUAGAGGCUAAUGGAAUUCCGGGUGUAGCGGUGGAAUGCGUAGAGAUCCGGAAGAACACCGGUGGCGAAGGCGGUUAGCUGGGCAGUUGCUGACACUGAGGCGCGACAGCGUGGGGAGCAAACAGG
RNAcentral lists this ribosomal RNA (253 nucleotides) under uncultured bacterium. RNAcentral's name for it is "partial 16S ribosomal RNA". It matches the Rfam family "Bacterial small subunit ribosomal RNA", at positions 524 to 776 of the family's 1533-position model. RNAcentral also lists the same sequence under 1 other name. The record is from RNAcentral.